RNAcentral lists this transfer RNA (66 nucleotides) under Perumytilus purpuratus. RNAcentral's name for it is "tRNA-Ala". The record is from RNAcentral. Lineage: Eukaryota; Metazoa; Mollusca; Bivalvia; Mytilida; Mytilidae.
AGGGUAGUACUUUAAAAAAAAGGGUUGGAUUGCAGCCAAUUAUUGAAGUUGAUUUUUCCUACCUUU